This 328-nucleotide ribosomal RNA is filed under the name Bacteroidales bacterium. RNAcentral describes it as "partial 23S ribosomal RNA". It matches the Rfam family "Bacterial large subunit ribosomal RNA", at positions 1 to 338 of the family's 2925-position model. Lineage: Bacteria; Pseudomonadati; Bacteroidota; Bacteroidia; Bacteroidales. The record is from RNAcentral.
AUUGAAGGUUACAAGAGCGAACGGAGGAUGCCUAGGCUUCUGCAGGCGAUGAAGGACGUGGUAAGCUGCGUAAAGCCCCGGGGAACCGCAAACAGGUUUUGAUCCGGGGAUGUCCGAAUGGGGCAACCCGCACGGAUGAAGUCCGUGCGCCAUCUGAUAGAUGGGGCCAACCCGGGGAACUGAAACAUCUUAGUACCCGGAGGAAGAGAAAGAAAAGAUCGAUUUCCCGUGUAGUGGCGAUCGAAAGGUAAAGAGCCCAAACCUCGGUUGUUUCGGCAGUCGCGGGGUUGUAGGAGCGUUCAAAGGAAACAAUUUUCCGAAUUGGAAC